UUUUGUUCUCGUUUUGGCAUUUACUCUAUCCACUUCCGUCGAAGAAAAAAAAAAGAGCUCUAUCCAUUGCGCACCUCCUUCGGCUAGGUCGUGGGGCAAGCGGUUUCGGACUUUCGGAGGCGAACGACUGGAGUUUCCGGCGGCAAGCGGGCAGCAGACCAGCAGCCAUGGGUUUCGACGGCCUACGAUGUGGCCUCGGUGUAGGGAACCACCGUGGGUGGCCUCGGCGGCGUGCGACGCUCCAGGUAGCCUUUGUUUUGUGCUUGGAGCCCCACCACCGCUCAGAUCUGUGAGGCAAGCUCAGCCAUGGCCCCUUCUUUAGCGGCGACUUGGCUUCCGACGACGGCGACAUGGAUGCGAACAGAGUCGCUUCCGACUCCUCAGCGUUAGUGCCUCUGGCCUAUACUACUACGUGUCUGUAUCCGUCCUGCCUGACCACCCGCACGGCGCCGUUGUCCUCAAGGACCACUCGCUGGCGGCCCAACCUCCAACUCCUCCCCGAACAAGGUUAAUGCUCUAGUCUUUAGCCUCUUCUCCCGCCUUCAUUUUUUUUUCUCCGGAUCUGGAGCUGCGAGCGAUUAGAAAGGGGUGAUUUAGCUAUGUGUGAGCGUAUCAACUUUUUCAGGGAACAUAUCUUGACAUUAAUUUGUGGAACUUGUUAAUUCCGUGAGAAUUUAGUAUGGCUAGCACAUGGUUGUAUGCUUCCACUAAUGUACGCCUAUUUGGAAAUUAGAACCAGGGCAAAGAAUGAGCAAAUACUCCACCUGUUUAUGUACGUUUGUCUUCUUUCAUGUAACAGAGUUCGGAGAUUCACAACGUAGGAAAGGAGGGGAGUUCUCAAAGCCCAGUUCUCAUUGAAAAACACCAAGAACAUCAUGGGAAUACGUGAGGUUUUUGCUCCUAAUUUUUUUAUUUGACUGCAAUGCCGUUACAUAGAUAGCUCUCACUUUCGGUUUCUCUGUGGAUUUAAAUUCUGAUCCUGUGAUGUUUUUCCUGGUGCUCAUAUUAACUCUGUCAUAACUGAUGUAAGUCAUUUUUUUCCAAAUAUAACUGAUGUAAGUCUUGGUGUUUUAGAAUCUCUCUUUAUGUAUGUUUGACACCAGUCAACUUUUUAUUGAGCCAUGAUGCCUUUUAUUUUGCCAAAUGUAAUUUUAGGUUCCUGUUGUGAUGAUCAGUUGCACUCAGUUACUCCUUUAUCAUAUUCUAAAGCUAAGAGUUUUGUGUAGUAUACAUGGCUAAAUGACUAACAAUUCAAUCUCAUUGACACUAGAAGGCCUCGUGGCUACAUGAACCUUUCCUUCUCGUUUUCUUCUGAAACUUGCUGCUUUGCAAUGUCAAUCACAACUUCCCAAGGCAGAUACAUGUUAUAUUAGAGGAUUGCAACAUCCCAUGGGCAUCAGCAACAGAAGCAGCAUAGAAUAGUGAGACAUUGUGGGAGGAGUAGGCGAUCGCGUGCGUUGCGGCCACGCGCCUGCCCGUGCACCGUGCACCUUCUGCCACCACGAGUUCCGACACUAUUGAGUUGAGCGGAACGAUAUGGAUGACGCAAGGAGAGGAAUAUAGAGCUGACAGUUGAUUUGGGAACAGGUGGUGGCGUCUCUAAAAACCAAUCUACAUGCUCUUUCGGCAGUAAGGCAUUGAUUUUAUUCAUCUUCAACUGAUUUUCCUAUCUUGCAGUGUUGUCCAUUUAAGUAUAAUUAUUUUAGUGCCCGACUUUUUACGACUGCCAUAGACAUGCAUUUACUUGGUUCUGCUUAAAAUUGAUUCGUCUGCAUGAUUUUAUUCAUGCUUGUUCAUAAAUUGCGUAUCCAGUAUGCCAUUGAUCAUUUUCAUUUUGUCAUCUCGACACUAGGCCAGAAGCUACAAGUGACUCAAUAGUUCCAAAAUAGACAAUUAUGUGUCUAUUUGGGCAGAACAUGGCCUGAUUCAGUGGGCGGCAUGGUCAUUCUUUUCUGAAUUGAAAUUAUUAUCAAAAGAAUUGACUAGAUCAUUUUGGUUGGAAUAAAAAAAGGACGAAUAUUUCUUCAUACUGUGGUUUUUUGUAGUCUUGCCGUUGCGGAAGCUGUAAUAAUUCUUCCUCUCUCUACGUUACAUGGAUAACGUGUUCCUAAUUUUCUGGUAUUGUUUUAUGAGAUGUGGUGAGUGGGUCUAUCCUAACGAAUUAUUCUGCAGACAAUCAUCAUCAAUGACUUGUUGAUGUGCAAGUGACAAGGAAACCGAAGAAGUUUCCAUGGGCAGAUGCAGAACAAAGUGAUGCCACAUAAGAACUUCUAACUAAAGCUUUGCUUUUCUCCUUAUCCAUAUUUUUGCAUAUCCUAUUUGGAUGCUUCUUACAGAAUAUUGCUACCGUUUCAGAUAUCAACUAUUCACCAUUGGGACAAGAAAUGCAUAACUUCUGAAGUUCUAUCUCAAGUAAUUAAGCCUAGAUUAUGGCAUUUUGAAAGGAAUCAACAUGUCUAUCACCGAAGCAUUGUGCAACUGAAAUAGUUCAGUCUGCCUUGUGUAGUUUCUUGCACAGAUUGACUCCAGCUUUUUGGCAAAUGAGGACACGCUGGUACUACAGAUUGACUCCAUCUUAUGAGAAGUGUGCAUGGCAGCAUCUAUUUUAGAUGCCCUCGAGUCCCUAGCUUUGGAAUCACCGGGACGUGCCUUUUAUGUUAGGAUUCCUAUUUUAUGAUGGCGCCUAGAAUUCUUCUGUGACAUAAUGUAUUUGGCACCUAGAAUUCUUAUCUGGCAUAAUGUAUUUCACAUUCAGUUCA
This is a non-coding RNA of Triticum urartu, 2759 nucleotides long. The record is from RefSeq and is a predicted model, not a curated record. NCBI's taxonomy places the organism in Eukaryota, Viridiplantae, Streptophyta, Magnoliopsida, Poales, Poaceae.